GGGCCGCUAGCUCAACUGGCAGAGCAGCGGACUUUUAAUCCGCGGGUUCAGGGUUCGAGCCCCUGGCGGCCCA
Transfer RNA from Streptoalloteichus hindustanus, 73 nucleotides. It matches the Rfam family "tRNA". Rfam says of the family: Transfer RNA (tRNA) molecules are approximately 80 nucleotides in length. NCBI's taxonomy places the organism in Bacteria, Bacillati, Actinomycetota, Actinomycetes, Pseudonocardiales, Pseudonocardiaceae. The record is from Rfam.